AUCAUAAGCCUUCACCAAUUAAACACGUCUCCUACAACGCCUUCCAUCAUUUUAAUCCACCAACAAGUUUUAAUAUUUCAUGGCGACCCUGCCAGUCGGUGCGUGCCUAAACUAAGUGCGCGCACCGGCUGGGCACCGAUGAAGACGAUGAUCACACGAUUUCCAAGAAGAUUAAUAUCAAGAUUCAAGAACCAGCUAGAAAAAAGAAGAGAAUAAUUCCACGUCCCGAUUUAAAUAUCAAGAAACACUAACAUUAAGAAAGAAG
Molecule: long non-coding RNA, 265 nt
Organism: Maniola jurtina (meadow brown)
Lineage: Eukaryota; Metazoa; Arthropoda; Insecta; Lepidoptera; Nymphalidae
Exons: 2
Source: RefSeq, a predicted model, not a curated record